AAGAGAUGGGGAUAUAACUACCAAUAGUUAGAGUCCUGUUUUUCAUGUAGAUGUUUGCUUUCAGGAAUAAAGAGAUGAAAAAUUAAGGAAAUAUGAAAUGUGGCUGGAAGAAAUCUUCAAAGGAAAAGGAAACACUAUUAUCCAUGAAACCAUGAAAGCAUGAAAAGAGACGCUCUGUAAAACAGUUGAGGAUGCUAAAGAACACAGGGAAGGAAGAAGAAAAGGAAAUGAAAUGAGAAAAUUUGUUCUUUUAAGAAGAUGAAGAGGAGAGACAUUAUAAAUGAAGUCAACAAAGUAAAGAGGCAUCGAUAAAGAACUGCAAAACCACCCAGGGUCUCUGGUUUUGGAAUUGAAUGGUGAUUGGUAUGUGCAUAAGAGAAAAAAAUGAUGUCUGCAGUGUUCCUCAAGAUGCCCUCUGUGUUGCACUGGUGGCCAACAGUAAGUUCGGCAGCAAGAGAAUAAAGAAGAUGGGAAGUAAUAAUAACAAUAAAAAGAAUAAUCUGGUGCAAAUGGACCCCAAGGUGUAGUUGUCAUCCCUGUGCAACAAUCACCCUUCACUGCAAUUUACUGAUGUUGCUUCAUUACAAUACAGCAUAUAAAGGGGCAAUGCACAAAGUCACUAUUUAAAGCUACAUGGUUAGAAGCAGUGCAUCCCACCCUAACAGGGACCGUUAUGGGAGCUAAGUCAGAUUGUUCAAAAGUGAAUUGACCUGUAAAAUAAAUAAAUAAAUAAAUAGAGGUGAAACCUGAAUGCAGCAUGGUGCUAAAUUUGGGGAGAAACGGAAGAAAAGGUAGCAGGAAAAAGCUUUUCCUUAGUGAAAUAUUAAAGGGAUCCCAAAUUAAUCUGGAUUAAAACAUCCUUUGAGAGUGUAACAACUUGUGGCUUUGCUAAAAGGAAAAGAUAAAGAAUAUGAUGUUUCCUGUUUGGAAAAUACAAACAGGCUCUCCGUUUUCUAUUUUUAUCCCUCAUAAAAUGAACUGAAAUAAUGUUUUUAGGUAAACGUAACACUGUAAAUUCAGGUUAAUAUGACUGAAAAGAGAGAACGACUGAUUUUUCUAAUUUUUGUCUGCUGUAAUCGAAAGUCUUACUUUUCAGUCAGUGCUCAAAAGAUGCCGAGGCAGUGUGUUAUGGGGAAAAAAAGAGAUUCUCUCCUCACCAAGGAUCACUGAGUAUGUCAUUGGUUAAUUCUUGCUCUAUGCUUCUCAUUAGCAUUACUCUCAAGUUUCUGGUUAUCAUAUCCGAAAUAUUAAGACAUAAUAACUACGAAGGUGCAGAUAAUUGGAUAUUAACCAGAACAUACUUGACUGGGCAGGAGGUAGAGCCCUGCUUAAACUAAUCCUGAAAUAUAUUAAUCACCAAUUAAUGAAAGGGUUUCAAAUUCAUUUCUAUUAUAGAACACCUCCGAGUAUCUAAGCUUUUUCUAACAAAAUGACUUGGAAUAACAGGGUAGAAAUAAGAAAUACAGCCAUCUGAUGAUGGCUUGAAUUAAUUCUUUACGGCCUGUUGUCAGGUAAUCAUGAAAACUAUAGUUAAAGCCUUACUUACUCUUUACAAAGUCUGAUGAAAAGAAGGAACUCUUUUCAAAGUUCAGUGGCCUCUGUUUAAUAUUACAAAUUUAUCCCUUUAAAUAACAGAGCCAUAGCUAAAUAUUUCAUCAGAGAGCUGUCAGAAUAUUAUCCAAGUCUUCCACCUCCAGACCUUCAGCUCAAUAACAGAUGUACUCUUAAAAUAUAAAGCCAAUUAAUGGAAGCCCAGAGAACUCCAGUGAAGACAUGCUUUAUACACAGUGAACACUCCAUGGUACUAGGUUGAUGAAUUAAGAGAUAAAAACCUUGUCUAGUAGAAAUGUCACCCACCACUUAACUUACACGGAAAUAAAGUAAUGCUAAAAAAAAAAAAAAAAAAA
This is a long non-coding RNA of Pongo pygmaeus (Bornean orangutan), 1907 nucleotides long. RefSeq lists it as uncharacterized. NCBI's taxonomy places the organism in Eukaryota, Metazoa, Chordata, Mammalia, Primates, Hominidae. The transcript is spliced from 3 exons. The record is from RefSeq and is a predicted model, not a curated record.